Molecule: small nuclear RNA, 107 nt
Organism: Nycticebus coucang (slow loris)
Lineage: Eukaryota; Metazoa; Chordata; Mammalia; Primates; Lorisidae
Source: RefSeq, a predicted model, not a curated record
GUGCUCUCUUUGGCAGUACAUAGACUAAAAUUGGAAUGUUACAGAAAAGAUUAGCAUGGCCCCUAUGCAAGAAUGACACGCGAUUUCAUGAAGAGUUCCAUUCCUGA